RNAcentral lists this ribosomal RNA (421 nucleotides) under uncultured bacterium. Its description in RNAcentral is "bacterial SSU rRNA". It matches the Rfam family "Bacterial small subunit ribosomal RNA", at positions 355 to 774 of the family's 1533-position model. The record is from RNAcentral.
UAAGGAAUAUUGGUCAAUGGACGCAAGUCUGAACCAGCCAUGCCGCGUGAAGGAUGAAGGUCCUCUGGAUUGUAAACUUCUUUUAUCUGGGACGAAAACGGGAUUUUUAUCUCAAUUGACGGUACCAGAGGAAUAAGCACCGGCUAACUCCGUGCCAGCAGCCGCGGUAAUACGGAGGGUGCGAGCGUUAUCCGGAUUUACUGGGUUUAAAGGGUGCGUAGGUGGGCUUAUAAGUCAGUGGUGAAAUCUCCGAGCUUAACUUGGAAACUGCCGUUGNUACUAUAGGUCUUGAAUUGUCUGGAGGUAAGCGGAAUAUGUCAUGUAGCGGUGAAAUGCUUAGAUAUGACAUAGAACACCAAUUGCGAAGGCAGCUUACUACAUAUAAAUUGACGCUGAGGCACGAAAGCGUGGGGAUCAAACA